Long non-coding RNA from Silurus meridionalis, 398 nucleotides. RefSeq lists it as uncharacterized. The record is from RefSeq and is a predicted model, not a curated record. NCBI's taxonomy places the organism in Eukaryota, Metazoa, Chordata, Actinopteri, Siluriformes, Siluridae. The transcript has 2 exons.
CACGAGGAAAAGAGACAGCAGGACGCCAAUGACAGUCUGAGCUUAGUGACAGACACAUAGUGAGGGAGAGCAGAAGUGAGGAAGGGAGACGGUGCGAGACAGCGGCAGAAACACGAGACAAGAUAGAGUUAAAGCCACUCACAGAUCGGUCCAUGUCAGCGACGAGAGCUGGAUGGCUUCCAGACACAAGGCAGCCGAGGAGGCACAGAGAAAUGGCAGGAUGGUGCAAUUCCAUGAACCAGGCGGUGAUGCAGCUGCUCAGGAUGCUCUCGAUUGUCCCUCUGUGGAUGUUGUGAGGAUGAGUGAAAUUCACAAUCACUGAGCUUCUGCUUAAACAAACCUGUGCUUAGUCAUAUACAGUGCAUCUGAAAAGUAUUCACAGCACUUCACUUUUUCCA